This 68-nucleotide ribosomal RNA is filed under the name Gyrodactylus sp. (Pimephales promelas) WWAB-2002. RNAcentral describes it as "partial 5.8S ribosomal RNA". The record is from RNAcentral. Lineage: Eukaryota; Metazoa; Platyhelminthes; Monogenea; Gyrodactylidea; Gyrodactylidae.
CAUCGUUUCUCUCGAACGCAAAUUGCGGCUUUGGGCUUGCCCUUAGCCACGUUUGAUCGAGUGUCGGC